RNAcentral lists this small RNA (76 nucleotides) under Flavobacterium noncentrifugens. Its description in RNAcentral is "Flavo-1 RNA". It matches the Rfam family "Flavo-1 RNA". Lineage: Bacteria; Pseudomonadati; Bacteroidota; Flavobacteriia; Flavobacteriales; Flavobacteriaceae. The record is from Rfam by way of RNAcentral.
CCCUAGCCCGGAUGGAAGCGGCAUCCUUUUGUGCAAUGCAAUGGAACAAAAGAUACAGCGGACAGGCGGAACAGCU